Molecule: ribosomal RNA, 1230 nt
Filed under: Sphingomonas sp.
Lineage: Bacteria; Pseudomonadati; Pseudomonadota; Alphaproteobacteria; Sphingomonadales; Sphingomonadaceae
Description: bacterial SSU rRNA
Rfam family: Bacterial small subunit ribosomal RNA
Source: RNAcentral
GGGGGGGAUCGUAAUGAGAUGCUGCUCCUACUAUGCUUUCGGCAUACUGUCGCAGGGUGCGUAUCGCGUGGGAGCUGCCCUUGGUGCUGGGAUAACGGUUGGAAACUACCGCCGAUACGGGAUGAUAUCGCGAGAUCAAAGAUUUAUCGCCUGAGCACGAGCCCGCGAAAGAAUACCUAGUUGGUGGGGUAAAGGCCUACCAAGGCGACCAUCCUUAACUGGUCUGAGAGGAUGAUCCCCCACUCUGGGACUGGUACACCGCCCAGACUCCUACAGGAGGAAACGUUGGGGAAUAUUGGACAAUGGGCGAAAUCCUGAUCCAGCACUGCCGCGUGAGUGAUGAAGGCCUUAGGGUUGUAAAGCUCUUUUACCCGGGAUGAUCAUGACAGUACCGGGAGAAUAAACCCCGGCUAACUCCAUGCCAGCAGCCCCGGUGUUACCGACGCCGCUAGCGUUAUUCGGAAUUACUGGGCGUAAAGCGCAAUUUGGCAGCUUUGUAAGUCAGGGGUGAAAGCCUGGAGCUCAACUCCUGAACUGCCUUUGAGACUGCAUCCCCCGAAUCCUGGAGAGGUAAGUGGAAUUCCGAGUGUACAGGUGAAAUUCGUAUAUAUUCGGAAGAACACCCGUGGCGAAAGCGGCUUACUGGACAGGGAUUGAUGCUCACGUGCGAAAGCGUGAAGAGCAGACUCGAUUAGAUACCCUGCUCCUCCACGUCGCACACCAUGAUCACUAUCUGUCCAGGGACUUGCUCUUUCGGCGGCGCAGCUCACGCAUUUAUUUAUCCUUCUGGUCUGUACUCUCGCAUGGUUAAAACUCUCAGGAAUUGACGGGAGCCUGCAUCAGCGGUGGAGCUCGUGAUUUAAUUCGAAGCAUCUCGCAUAACCUUAACAGCGUCUGACAUGUGCUGUACGAUCUCCAGAGAUGGAUCACUUCUCUUCCGCGUACUGAUAACACACGUCCUGCAUGGCUGUCAUCAGCUCGGUGUCAUGAUCUCGUUGGGUGUAGUCCUGCACCGAGCGCAACCAGUCGCCAUUAAGCUACUAUCAUCUACACGGCUACUGCUGAAUGCACGGUCAGUCGAUCAGCCCGAGUACGAUAGUGCAUCGACGUCUAGUCCUCAUGGACGAUUACGGCGCUGGGUCUCACACCUUGCGUAGAUGACUAUCUACUCGUACUGCAAUUCCGACAAGAUCAACGGUAUGUGCCUUAUAGUUCCGCUCCCUCCAAAAC